Molecule: non-coding RNA, 121 nt
Filed under: Picochlorum sp. RCC944
Lineage: Eukaryota; Viridiplantae; Chlorophyta; Trebouxiophyceae
Source: RNAcentral
AAAGAAGAAACAAAAUGUUUUCGAAAAAAAAAGAAAAAAGAGCGGAAAGAUAUAGAAGAGGUUCCUCGGUUUCUCGUUUCUGCUUUCUCUUCUCGUUCACUUCUUCUUCGUUUUGCUUCCA